AGUGAACGCUGGCGGUAGGCCUAACACAUGCAAGUCGAACGGCAGCACAGUAAGCGCUUGCUCUUACGGGUGGCGAGUGGCGGACGGGUGAGGCAUACAUCGGAAUCUACUUUUUCGUGGGGGAUAACGUAGGGAAACUUACGCUACUACCGCAUACGACCUACGGGUUAAAGCAGGGGAUCUUCGGACCUUGCGCGAUUGAAUGAGCCGAUGUCGGAUUAGCUAGUUGGCGGGGUAAAGGCCCACCAAGGCGACGAUCCGUAGCUGGUCUGAGAGGAUGAUCAGCCACACUGGAACUGAGACACGGUCCAGACUCCUACGGGAGGCAGCAGUGGGGAAUAUUGGACAAUGGGCGCAAGCCUGAUCCAGCCAUACCGCGUGGGUGAAGAAGGCCUUCGGGUUGUAAAGCCCUUUUGUUGGGAAAGAAAAGCAGCAGGUUAAUACCCCGCUGUUCUGACGGUACCCAAAGAAUAAGCACCGGCUAACUUCGUG
This 492-nucleotide ribosomal RNA is filed under the name uncultured bacterium. RNAcentral describes it as "partial 16S ribosomal RNA". It matches the Rfam family "Bacterial small subunit ribosomal RNA", at positions 29 to 507 of the family's 1533-position model. The record is from RNAcentral.